UAGGGAAUCUUCCGCAAUGGACGCAAGUCUGACGGAGCAACGCCGCGUGAGUGAAGAAGGAUUUCGGUUCGUAAAACUCUGUUGUUAGAGAAGAACAGCGCAUAGAGUAACUGUUAUGCGUGUGACGGUAUCUAACCAGAAAGCCACGGCUAACUACGUGCCAGCAGCCGCGGUAAUACGUAGGUGGCAAGCGUUGUCCGGAUUUAUUGGGCGUAAAGCGAGCGCAGGCGGUCAAUUAAGUCUGAUGUGAAAGCCCCCGGCUCAACCGGGGAGGGUCAUUGGAAACUGGUUGACUUGAGUGCAGAAGAUGAUAGUGGAAUUCCAUGUGUAACGGUGAAAUGCGUAGAUAUAUGGAGGAACACCAGUGGCGAAGGCGACUCUCUGGUCUGUAACUGACGCUGAGGUUCGAAAGCGUGGGUAGCAAACAGG
Molecule: ribosomal RNA, 429 nt
Filed under: Bacteroidota bacterium
Lineage: Bacteria; Pseudomonadati; Bacteroidota
Description: Bacteroidetes bacterium partial 16S ribosomal RNA
Rfam family: Bacterial small subunit ribosomal RNA
Source: RNAcentral